RNAcentral lists this unclassified non-coding RNA (296 nucleotides) under Hydnotrya sp. RNAcentral describes it as "partial contains 5.8S ribosomal RNA, internal transcribed spacer 2, and large subunit ribosomal RNA". RNAcentral also lists the same sequence under 1 other name. The record is from RNAcentral. Lineage: Eukaryota; Fungi; Ascomycota; Pezizomycetes; Pezizales; Discinaceae.
AACGCACAUUGCGCCCUCUGGUAUUCCGGGGGGCAUGCCUGUUCGAGCCUCAAUGAAAACUCUCCUCCAAUGCUGGCGUCUUCCAGCACAUGGAGGGUCCUGGUGGAUGCCCACACCCUGAACCGUGUGCGCACCGCUCAAAUUCGAUGUCUGCGAGCCUGAGGAUUGCGGCCGACGUAGUGAGAUUCAAUCUCGUUGGCUGUCAAACCUGACAGAGGCAACGGGACCUUAAGCGCUAUGGCGCCAACAUCAAGACGGUUGAGCUCGGAUCAGGUAGGGAUACCCGCUGAACUUAA